UACGGGGGGGGCAAGCGUUGUUCGGAAUUACUGGGCGUAAAGGGCUCGUAGGCGGCCAACUAAGUCAGACGUGAAAUCCCCAGGCUCAACCUGGGAACUGCGUCUGAUACUGGAUGGCUUGAAUCCGGGAGAGGGAUGCAGAAUUCCAGGUGUAGCGGUGAAAUGCGUAGAUAUCUGGAGGAACACCGGUGGCGAAGGCGGCAUCCUGGACCGGCAUUGACGCUGAGGCGCGAAAGCCAGGGGAGCAAACGGG
RNAcentral lists this ribosomal RNA (253 nucleotides) under uncultured bacterium. Its description in RNAcentral is "partial 16S ribosomal RNA". It matches the Rfam family "Bacterial small subunit ribosomal RNA", at positions 524 to 776 of the family's 1533-position model. The record is from RNAcentral.